CCCUGCUCUGUCUCCUCCUGUCUGGUACAGGUACCCCCGCCACACUACGCCCUCUCUCCCUGCUCUGUCUCCUCCUGUCUGUUACAGGUACCCCCGCCACACUACGCCCUCUCUCCCUGCUCUGUCUCCCCCUGUCUGUUACAGGUACCCCCGCCACACUACGCCCUCUCUCCCUGCUCUGUCUCCUCCUGUCUGGUACAGGUACCCCCGCCACACUACGCCCUCUCUCCCUGCUCUGUCUCCUCCUGUCUGGUACAGGUACCCCCGCCACACUACGCCCUCUCUCCCUGCUCUGUCUCCUCCUGUCUGGUACAGGUACCCCCGCCACACUACGCCCUCUCUCCCUGCUCUGU
Molecule: long non-coding RNA, 353 nt
Organism: Oncorhynchus tshawytscha (Chinook salmon)
Lineage: Eukaryota; Metazoa; Chordata; Actinopteri; Salmoniformes; Salmonidae
Source: Ensembl